Molecule: unclassified non-coding RNA, 257 nt
Filed under: Hevea brasiliensis (rubber tree)
Lineage: Eukaryota; Viridiplantae; Streptophyta; Magnoliopsida; Malpighiales; Euphorbiaceae
Source: RNAcentral
UGAAAACCAGGCUGUAGAUCCUUUUUCCAUGUUAUGAAAAAGGCACACAGACAGAACUACUUACUUUCAUCUCUGUUAUAGAUGCCUCUUAACCAACACUUUCAGCCAUUGAUACUUAAUUCCUAUCUUCCUAAGAUUGUUAUAUUUUGGGGUUGUGUGGCAUGGCACUACUAGACUGCUGUUAAAAGAAAAGUCCUGUCAAUCUGUUUACUGCUGCUUGGAGUUGAAACGGUUUGAUCAAACAUUAACCUGAACUA